UCUUCGGGGAUGAUUAAACCGGCGCACGGGUGAGUAACACGUGAGUGACCUGCCUUUUAGACUGGAACAACUUACCGAAAGGUGAGCUAAUGCCGGAUGAGUUAUAUAAGUGCAUGUUUAUAUAGGAAAAGUUGGGGAGACCUGACGCUGAAAGAUGGACUCGCGUCCCAUUAGCUAGUUGGUAGGGUAAUGGCCUACCAAGGCGACGAUGGGUAGCCGGCCUGAGAGGGUGGCCGGCCACACUGGGACUGAGACACGGCCCAGACUCCUACGGGAGGCAGCAGUGGGGAAUUUUGCGCAAUGCUCGUAAGAGUGACGCAGCGACGCCGCGUGAAUGACGAAGGCCUUCGGGUCGUAAAGUUCUUUCGACAGGGAAGAAAAUGCCUAUAAGUAACUGUGUAUGUAUUGACGGUACCUGUAUAAGCAGCCCCGGCUAACUCCGUGCCAGCAGCCGCGGUAAUACGGAGGGGGCGAACGUUGUUCGGAGUGACUGGGCGUAAAGAGCACGUAGGCGGUGUUGUAAGUCAUUAGUCAAAGACUAGAGCUCAACUUUAGUAAGGCUAGUGAUACUAUAAUACUAGAGUAUCAGAGAGGAUUGCAGAAUUCCUGGUGUAGCGGUGAAAUGCGUAGAUAUCAGGAGGAAUACCGUUAGCGAAGGCGGCAAUCUGGCUGGAAACUGACGCUGAGGUGCGAAAGCGUGGGUAGCAAACAGGAUUAGAUACCCUGGUAGUCCACGCUGUAAACGAUGGAUGCUAGGUGUUGGGCUUUUAAGUUCAGUGCCGCAGCAAACGCGAUAAGCAUCCCGCCUGGGGAG
This 814-nucleotide ribosomal RNA is filed under the name uncultured bacterium. Its description in RNAcentral is "bacterial SSU rRNA". It matches the Rfam family "Bacterial small subunit ribosomal RNA", at positions 77 to 880 of the family's 1533-position model. The record is from RNAcentral.